AACCAACGCAGUAUCUACUGUAGCAAUUUUGUCAGUAAAAAUUUUAUCUAGAUUCACACCAGCUUACUUAAGUUAAGCCUUGCCACGCAAAAACCUGCCCGGUAUUUACGAAGAACAUCCUACUUUGGUCAAAUAUUUCAAGACCCUAUUUAGGAAAUUCAACUCAGAAAGUAUCUAUCUAGUGCCAGUGAAACGCAAUCGAGAUAAAGUUUGCCUGACUUGAAACUGGCUGUAGAUUGGAUUAGCACAAAAAAGAUAUUCAGCUUUUGUACAUCGUGCAAACUGCUGGGGAUUCCACAUCCAGCGAACUAAAACAACUGAGCAUCCAAGCUACAUAACUGAGACCAGAUUACCUUCAUACUCUGCGAAUUGCGCAACUGGUGGGAACCUACAAGAGUCAAAUAAGAAGCUGAAAGGAGUUUACAAUGAAUGCCUUGAUCUUAUAAUAAACGAAAUCAAGCGACGCUUCUCAGAGAAUCAAGAGCUAGUUACUGCGAUUACCAAUAUUAGCGAAUUCAAAACGGAUGAUUUGAAUAGCUUUAGAGAACUAGGUUUGAAAGUUCCUAGCGAAGAAGAAUUAACAGUCGAGAAAAACUUGUUCAAGAAUCGAAAGGAACAGGCUGACGAUGGAAUUAAGUUGGAGGUACUUUUCAGAUUUCGUGAAGCUUUCAGUGAUACGUUCGAGCUGAUGGCAGCUGUUGAGACAUUUGGGUGCAAUACAGCAACUUACGAAUCAACGUUUUCGGCAUUGACCGCAAUUAAUAGGCCGCAACGCUAAUCCAUGACCCAUGCCCGCAUGUCUGAUCUCGUCUACUUAGCUUUUGAAAGACAUCGUACACUUGCAAUUGAUAUCGAUAUGAUUCUCCGAAAAUUUAAUAAUAACAAAAAUCGUAAACUGCCAUUGUACUAAGUAUCUAUUCUUAACAAUAUUUUUUGUAUGUUUUGUUUUAAGCAUUAAUUGAAAAUUGAAUAUUAUCAUAAAAAAAUGUAGUCCACAAAUAAAUUUAACCAAUUAUUCAUUUAA
Long non-coding RNA from Anastrepha ludens (Mexican fruit fly), 1024 nucleotides. RefSeq lists it as uncharacterized. The record is from RefSeq and is a predicted model, not a curated record. Lineage: Eukaryota; Metazoa; Arthropoda; Insecta; Diptera; Tephritidae. The transcript is spliced from 3 exons.